GUACUGAUGAAAAGUUCCAAACUAGGACGAAACGGCUGUCCAGUAC
This is a non-coding RNA of Trichobilharzia regenti, 46 nucleotides long. NCBI's taxonomy places the organism in Eukaryota, Metazoa, Platyhelminthes, Trematoda, Strigeidida, Schistosomatidae. The record is from Rfam.